GGGGCUAGUGGCCUCUUCUAGUUCCUUCCAACCUGGCAGCAGGCAAGCUCCUAUUCUGACACCUGAGCCCUUGUGGUGGGGCCCGUUCUGAGUCAACCAGAGCACAGGCCGGGGAUAGAGGCAAGGAGGCAGCAAUUCAACAGUGAAUUUGGGACCUUUGGAGCAAUCAAGGGGAAGGUGGUGGUGCUGCUGAUGGCGGUGGAGAGCUCUGGACUAAACCUGUCAUGAUGAUCCUGGAUUGUUUUUAUUCCAACCUCCCAGCUGACCUUGGGGACUGGAUAGAUGAUGAUGAUAAAAAUGAUCAUAAUAAUACCUGACUUGGCUGUCUUGAGCUGACUGUCCUGAGCCCCCACUGAGACCACCCAGACUCUGCAAGGGCGAGGAAAAGCAUAAAGUGCUCUCUAUGAAUGCAAGACAGUCUUUUCCUUCCUCCGACGUCAUCCCAUUCUUCUCCCCACUCCAAAAAAGGCAAGCACAGCAGCUGAGCACGCGCACAAGGGCAAGCGGAGGGCCAAGGCGGGCACCACCCCCGGGCAAGGGAGGGUAGACCCCUCCCUGAAGGACCGACUUGACCUGCCCAUCAGGCCUCACCCCCUUCAAAAGAAGCAGCAUCAGGGCCUGGGAGGUCACAUGUGGGAGGCCGAUGCAGCAGCCCCAAGGUUGGAAAGUGGGACUCCAUUCGGAUGCUCCCCACUGUUGCGCCCCCCUCCCUGCAAGGCCUGCCACCACGGGACACAGACCAAGAGGAGAACGAUCUCCAGGCCAAGCAAGCAUCAAGCAGGUGGCUUUUCUUGCAUCUUCAGCAUCCGCCAAAGAUGAGGGUGCGGGUCUGAAUACAUGCUCUGUUAGACCACAGGGCAGCGACCUGCGCUCGGUGAGGAGGUAACAGCGCCCCCAGUGUCCUACAAGGGUCAUCGAUCCUGUUCCUGGACACGAAAGACUGGCCCCUGUUGUGAGGCCAGACAUCCCUCCUCCAUGACUCUUCCUCCUAGUGCAGACUAGCUGGGUUAGAAAUUGUGCUUUCUCUUCCGAGACCUGGUAGUCCGUGUGGGGGCUGAUGCUGGGGAAGCUGGUGGGGGCUCUGGCAGGGGGGCUUGGGCCUGGGUGGCCUGGGGAGUGGAGCCCGUAGGGUCUGCCCCUUCUGGCCCCCGCUGAGAUGCCUGAACCCCAUCCCGGAUCUCUGUCAGCGUCUGGCACAUCUGACCGACACGGCUGGUCAGCUCGGCCAUGGCCUGGCCGAUGACGUGCAUGCUGUUGGCCAUGUCCCGGUGCACGGUCACCAGCUCCUGGCAGAACUGCCGGAACACCUCGGUCUGCUGGGCAUGGACGUGGAGGAGCUGCCAGUCAAGGCCCGUGGUGGGUGGGCUGGGGUGCGGCCGAGGGGUCCUGCAGGCAGCCUGGGCCUGGGGCGAGGGAUGGGGCAGGGCCUCUGGCUUGGGGCCCACCGUCUCAGACUGGUCUGAGGAGGAGGAUGAACGGAGCAGGGCGGGCCUGGCCAGGUGGGCCUCUUCCUCCGGAGACCGCUGCAGAGGCACCCGAAGAGGCUGCCUUGAGGGCCCAGGCGCCUCCUCA
RNAcentral lists this long non-coding RNA (1572 nucleotides) under Homo sapiens (human). RNAcentral describes it as "non-protein coding lnc-SYT13-2:2". Lineage: Eukaryota; Metazoa; Chordata; Mammalia; Primates; Hominidae. The record is from RNAcentral.